This 3381-nucleotide long non-coding RNA is filed under the name Homo sapiens (human). RNAcentral describes it as "HSALNT0314243". The record is from RNAcentral. Lineage: Eukaryota; Metazoa; Chordata; Mammalia; Primates; Hominidae.
AACACUGCCUGGAUCUGGUCCACGGUCCUCCUCAACCUCACUUCCUACCAUCCUGCCCCUUGCUCAUGGCUCCACCACCCUGGCCUCCUGCCUCCUGAAACGCCUUAAGCACAGUGUCCUCAGCUCAGGGCUAUGCUCUUGUUGUCACCUUGUCCCUCUUCCUUCCCUGCUUCCUUCAGUCUCUGUUCAAAUGUUCCUUCCUCAGAGGGGCCUCAGUGACCACCCCCUCCAAAAAUGGUAUUCUCUCCCCCAUUACCCUGCUUUGCUUUCUUCAUAGCUGGUGACAUUACCUGAGGAUAUGACACAGCUGUUCACCUGCAUUACUGCCUCUUUCCCACUAGAAAAGUCCCAAAAGCUGGAACUUUUCCUACUUCAUUUACUGUUUUAAAACCAGCUCCUAUGGCAGUGCCUGGCACAGAGUGGGCACUCAGAUAUUAGUUGAAUGACUGAGUGAUGGCAUGAGUACCCACUGGAGUGUCCCUUCCCAUCACAAUCAUGCAUGACCCUCUGUGGUCACAAAGCCCUGGUCUCACUGGUACCAAAAGCUGGAUGCCCUGGCCAGGGUGGCUGGGGACAGGAGGCCUGAGUUGAGAAUGACUGGAUGAGCCAGUGAGGGGCUAAGGUGUUUUUUGAGUCCUCUCAUGGGAUUCUGGCCUAGGAAGGACUUAGUUUCCUCACUGCUCAUCUGGGUUGGAAUGAGAGGAAAGGGGUUACUGAGUCCCACGUGCAGAAGGACCUCCCCACAGGGAGGACUGUUACUCAGGGAGGUCUGGAUCACUCUGGGAGCGGGCCCCACCAUGGUAAUUCACUGCCCGGGGAGGCUGUGUCAGGCUGUGGAAAGGAACAGGUUUCAGAGCCAGACCACUGAGUCCUGCCAGGAUAUUUCAUGUUGUAAUUCACUGUGCAGGGUGGAGCCCCAACACCAGAUCUACACCUACUGUCUGUGGGGCCUGGAAGGCAGCUGACCCUUGGUGAGCCUCAGUUUGCUCACUGAGAAAGACACCCUGCCCAACUGUUGCAUAGACUGAAAAUGCAAAGUGCACAAGAGUCUCUGGCCAGGACAGGCAUUGAAGGUCAGCUUGUUCUCCUCCUGGGUGAGUUUUCGGGCAAGUCCACGUUUACUCUAGGUUUUAGCUCCCUUCUAUGUGGCACAAGUUAACCCUUGUCUUCUGCUGAGUUCAGAAGGAAGGGUGAUAUGACCAUAAUCAAGCAAGUUCAUAAACACCCCUUUUCUUAGGAAAAAGACCCAAACACAUGAUUAAAAUAGCCAGCUGUGCUGUGUUAUAAAGGUUACAUCCCUUAUCUUUAUGAUAUGAGGGAAUCAGUAGUGUGGGUAAUGCUAUUUUAGCCCCAUUUGCCUCAUUUUUAUGAGAUUUUGAAAGAUAUGUUGGCCUCAGAUGUAUGGUCUCGAUGGUGUUUGGCACAGGAUGAGUGAAUGAUAGCGACUUUCAGGGGCCAGGCCAGCCCUGCUGAGUGGCUGGGGAAGCCAGUCUGAAGUCAGCACCAGCUGUAGUCCCAUCGCCUAGUGGAGAUGGACCUCAUUGCCCCAUAAGAGGGAUGAAGGCCUGGUUCUAUGCAGAGGUUGGGUGGGCAGUUGCAGCUGGAGACAGGCUGGAAGAGCCCACACAAUGGCUGGGCUUGAAAAUUCAGUCAUUGUUGCUGCUUACGGCAAGUAGUUCUUCAACGUAUUCUGAUUCAUGACUCCUUUUGAGAAUUUGACUAAAAACUAUGGACCCCUCUCUUCAGAAAGAUGCUCCAACCCACAUAAUGCAACAUUUUGCCUGUAAUUUCAGGGGAGGCACAAACCCACUGGGAUCCCCAAGUCAAGUAUGAUGCCUUGGGGAGUAGGGAGAGCUGAGGGGAUGAGGGGACAGAAUGAGGGCAGGAGAUGUAGCCUAGCCAGUGGGGUGGAGCACCAGACGAUAGAAAGGCGACAGGGGAGCUGUCAAAGUGACAACAGUCCUUUACUACUUUCCUAGAGAGGCUCUUGAUGAAAAAAUAAAGCUAAAUGUGGGCAAACAGGAUGCUAAUAUAUCUGUAAGUAUAGCAACAGGGAAAGAAAAGCAGGGGGAAGAGGCCACCCUUAUCCUUUCUGUCAACAAAACCAAACCCAAUGGACUGAGAGUCAGUCCUGUUAUCUCAGCUGGGCUCCCUCCUAUCACUUUUCUAGCUCUUCUUCCAAGACCCAGCUCCCAAUUUGCAGCUGGAGGCCUAACUCUGCAUUUGAAGGAAUUAGGGAUAAAUAAUGAUGGUCAUCAAGAUUAGUGGAGAGGACAAGGGAAUCUGCCAGCAGACUCUGGGCAAACAAAGCCUUUUAAGUUGCAGAAUGAAUUCCCCAAACCUUAAAAAAAAAAUCCCCAAGUGUAUUCAGUAGGGGAAAAGGAAAUUUCAUCUUGAAAACAAAUCUAGAAAAGGUGCUGACAUUUUACAGAUAGGGAGAAUGAAUUGCUCUCCUGCCUUCAGCUAGCCAUGUAAACAGGACCUAAAGAGGCUCCGAAAGCCGAUAACCUCCUUCACUAGCUCGGGAACCAGUGUGAGUCCCAAACGAGCAGAGGGGUGUUAGACGUGGGCUUCAAGGAUCAUGUUUUCAGAAACGCUAUACUUUACAGUGCAGCACCUGUAUAGAAAGAAGCAGGACUGUGAUCUGGGUGGGUGACAGCCUGGGUGAGGAGAGACUCCCACACAGGAGUCAUCAGCCACAGCAUCCACUGUGCAGAACCUCAAAAUGUGUCCCAUGCCCCCUCUGAAUUGAGCAUAAACUUGGACACAUCAAGUCCGCUUCCUUAGACUCAGAGCCCCUAUAGCACAUAUACGCACGAUCUCCAAGGAGAAGUACACAGUAUUAGAUGAGUUCAGCUUACCUUUCGGCUAUUAACAAUUAAUUCGUGCUGCCAUUGUGUUUUUAUAAAAAAGACUUUCUUUUCCACCUCUCUCCCAUUCAUCAUGUUCCAUAGAGCUCAGCUCUGUGAUCAGGAAACCAAUUGUAAAGUCCAGAAUGAGGACACGGGCUCUACAUGGUGUGGAAUGGCAGUGAGACGGGCUAGGACUUCAGAACUCAACUGAUCACACACAGGAGGGAGAAGAACAACCAAGCUGGGCUUCAAGAUGCCUUAUUUGGACACUAGUUUUUGAUGUGUCUCUGAUGGUUAUUAACCAGACAUUUCAAGGGCAAGAAACUAUUUCCCCAAAACUACCUUUUGAGACAUUUCCAGAGGCUGCCCUGUCCUCUCUGUCCAGAGACUCAGCCCCGACUCACCUCCUCUAGGAAGUCUCCCACACGGACCUCGCUCUGCUCCCUCCUCCUCACGGCUGACCCUGCUGGGUCGUCCUGCCAGCUCGGACACUUGUUUGUUGUGGCUUUUGUAAAAUACUCUGUAGUCA